RNAcentral lists this ribosomal RNA (497 nucleotides) under uncultured bacterium. RNAcentral describes it as "partial 16S ribosomal RNA". It matches the Rfam family "Bacterial small subunit ribosomal RNA", at positions 28 to 507 of the family's 1533-position model. The record is from RNAcentral.
GAUGAACGCUGGCGGCGUGCCUAAUACAUGCAAGUCGAGCGAACGGACGAGAAGCUUGCUUCUCUGAUGUUAGCGGCGGACGGGUGAGUAACACGUGGAUAACCUACCUAUAAGACUGGGAUAACUUCGGGAAACCGGAGCUAAUACCGGCUAAUAUUUUGAACCGCAUGGUUCAAAAGUGAAAGACGGUCUUGCUGUCACUUAUAGAUGGAUCCGCGCUGCAUUAGCUAGUUGGUAAGGUAACGGCUUACCAAGGCAACGAUGCAUAGCCGACCUGAGAGGGUGAUCGGCCACACUGGAACUGAGACACGGUCCAGACUCCUACGGGAGGCAGCAGUAGGGAAUCUUCCGCAAUGGGCGAAAGCCUGACGGAGCAACGCCGCGUGAGUGAUGAAGGUCUUCGGAUCGUAAAACUCUGUUAUUAGGGAAGAACAUAUGUGUAAGUAACUGGGCACAUCUUGACGGUACCUAAUCAGAAAGCCACGGCUAACUACGUG